This 433-nucleotide ribosomal RNA is filed under the name uncultured bacterium. Its description in RNAcentral is "partial 16S ribosomal RNA". It matches the Rfam family "Bacterial small subunit ribosomal RNA", at positions 29 to 507 of the family's 1533-position model. The record is from RNAcentral.
AACGAACGCUGGCGGCAUGCCUAACACAUGCAAGUCGAACGAGACCUUCGGGGCUAGUGGCGCACGGGUGCGUAACGCGUGGGAACCUGCCCUUAGGUUCGGAAUAACUCCCCGAAAGGGGUGCUAAUACCGGAUAAUGUCUUCGGACCAAAGAUUUAUCGCCUUUGGAUGGGCCCGCGUUGGAUUAGCUAGUUGGUAGGGUAAAAGCCUACCAAGGCGACGAUCCAUAGCUGGUCUGAGAGGAUGAUCAGCCACACUGGGACUGAGACACGGCCCAGACUCCUACGGGAGGCAGCAGUGGGGAAUAUUGGACAAUGGGCGAAAGCCUGAUCCAGCAAUGCCGCGUGAGUGAUGAAGGCCUUAGGGUUGUAAAGCUCUUUUACCCGGGAUGAGAAUGACAGUACCGGGAGAAUAAGCUCCGGCUAACUCCGUG